RNAcentral lists this long non-coding RNA (300 nucleotides) under Lathyrus oleraceus (garden pea). Its description in RNAcentral is "Pisum sativum (pea) long non-coding RNA (PSAT_LNC010139)". Lineage: Eukaryota; Viridiplantae; Streptophyta; Magnoliopsida; Fabales; Fabaceae. The record is from RNAcentral.
GGAUGAAAAAUGAAGAAGUUAUGUUGAAUUAAAGUUUAGAUCUAGAAACUUAUUUCCUUCGAUCCAGAAAAUAUGUUGAGAAUUAGGCUUAGCUUUUAUGAUAUUUGGAAUCUACUCAUCAAGACCUUUCCAACGAUAUAAAUUUUAUAAAAUUCUGCAAAAAAAAAAACGAUGAACAGUAGCACCACCGUCUUCACGAAGAAGACGGUGGAAACCACCGCAUGAACCACCGCCUGGAACUGUAGCGCCACCACCUGGUUUGGAGGCUAGGGUUACACCAAAACGACGUCAUUUUGGCCA